UUGACGGGGGCCCGGCACAAGCGGUGGAGCAUGUGGUUAAUUCGAUGCAACGCGAAGAACCUUACCUGGGUUUGACAUAUAGGUUGUAGGGAACUGAAAAGGGACCGACCCUUCGGGGAGCCUAUACAGGUGUUGCAUGGCUGUCGUCAGCUCGUGUCGUGAGAUGUUCGGUUAAGUCCGCUAACGAGCGCAACCCUCGUCGUAUGUUAUAUGUGUCAUACGAGACUGCCGGUAAAAGCCGGAGGAAGGUGAGGAUGAUGUCAAGUCAGCAUGACCUUUAUAUCCAGGGCUACACACACGCUACAAUGGUCUGUACAAUGGGUAGCCAAGCCGCGAGGCGGAGCCAAUCCUGAAAGCAGGCCUCAGUUCAGAUUGCAGUCUGCAACUCGACUGCAUGAAGCCGGAGUUGCUAGUAACCGCAGGUCAGCAAUACUGCGGUGAAUACGUUCCCGGGUCUU
RNAcentral lists this ribosomal RNA (458 nucleotides) under uncultured Anaerolineaceae bacterium. Its description in RNAcentral is "bacterial SSU rRNA". It matches the Rfam family "Bacterial small subunit ribosomal RNA", at positions 910 to 1382 of the family's 1533-position model. Lineage: Bacteria; Bacillati; Chloroflexota; Anaerolineae; Anaerolineales; Anaerolineaceae. The record is from RNAcentral.